GCGCCAGUGUUGUAGGGGUAUCAUGCAAGAUUCCCAUUCUUGCGACCCGGGUUCGAUUCCGCUGGCGCA
RNAcentral lists this transfer RNA (69 nucleotides) under Anguilla anguilla (European eel). It matches the Rfam family "tRNA". Rfam says of the family: Transfer RNA (tRNA) molecules are approximately 80 nucleotides in length. The record is from Rfam by way of RNAcentral. Lineage: Eukaryota; Metazoa; Chordata; Actinopteri; Anguilliformes; Anguillidae.